RNAcentral lists this ribosomal RNA (492 nucleotides) under uncultured bacterium. RNAcentral describes it as "partial 16S ribosomal RNA". It matches the Rfam family "Bacterial small subunit ribosomal RNA", at positions 29 to 507 of the family's 1533-position model. The record is from RNAcentral.
AGUGAACGCUGGCGGUAGGCCUAACACAUGCAAGUCGAACGGCAGCACAGUAAGAGCUUGCUCUUACGGGUGGCGAGUGGCGGACGGGUGAGGAAUACAUCGGAAUCUACUUUUUCGUGGGGGAUAACGUAGGGGAACUUACGCUAAUACCGCAUACGACCUACGGGUGAAAGCAGGGGAUCUUCGGAUCUUGCGCGAUUGAAUGAGCCGAUGUCGGAUUAGCUAGUUGGCGGGGUAAAGGCCCACCAAGGCGACGAUCCGUAGCUGGUCUGAGAGGAUGAUCAGCCACACUGGAACUGAGACACGGUCCAGACUCCUACGGGAGGCAGCAGUGGGGAAUAUUGGACAAUGGGCGCAAGCCUGAUCCAGCCAUACCGCGUGGGUGAAGAAGGCCUUCGGGUUGUAAAGCCCUUUUGUUGGGAAAGAAAAGCAGCAGGUUAAUACCCCGCUGUUCUGACGGUACCCAAAGAAUAAGCACCGGCUAACUUCGUG